RNAcentral lists this ribosomal RNA (460 nucleotides) under uncultured bacterium. Its description in RNAcentral is "partial 16S ribosomal RNA". It matches the Rfam family "Bacterial small subunit ribosomal RNA", at positions 338 to 795 of the family's 1533-position model. The record is from RNAcentral.
CCUACGGGAGGCAGCAGUGAGGAAUAUUGGUCAAUGGGCGCGAGCCUGAACCAGCCCAGUAGCGUGAAGGAUGACUGCCCUACGGGUUGUAAACUUCUUUUAUAAAGGCAUAAAGUGAGGCACGUGUGCCUUUUUGUAUGUACUUUAUGGAUAAGGAUCGGCUAACUCCGUGCCAGCAGCCGCGGUAAUACGGAGGAUCCGAGCGUUAUCCGGAUUUAUUGGGUUUAAAGGGAGCGUAGAUGGGUUGUUAAGUUAGUUGUGAAAGUUUGCGGCGCAACCGUAAAAUUGCAAUUGAUACUGGCAGCCUUGAGUACAGUUGAGGUAGGCGGAAUUCGUGGUGUAGCGGUGAAAUGCUUAGAUAUCACGAAGAACUCCGAUUGCGAAGGCAGCUUACUAAACUGCCACUGACAUUGAUGCUCGAAAGUGUGGGUAUCAAACAGGAUUAGAUACCCUAGUAGUC